CCUACGGGUGGCAGCAGUCGAGAAUCAUUCACAAUGGGGGAAACCCUGAUGGUGCGACGCCGCGUGGGGGAAUGAAGGUCUUCGGAUUGUAAACCCCUGUCAUGUGGGAGCAAAUUAAAAAGAUAGUACCACAAGAGGAAGAGACGGCUAACUCUGUGCCAGCAGCCGCGGUAAUACAGAGGUCUCAAGCGUUGUUCGGAAGCACUGGGCGUAAAGCGUGCGUAGGCUGUUUCGUAAGGCGUGUGUGAAAGGCGCGGGCUCAACCCGCGGACUGCACAUGAUACUGCGAGACUAGAGUAAGGGAGGGGGAAGCGGAAUUCUCGGUGUAGCAGUGAAAUGCGUAGAUAUCGAGAGGAACACUCGUGGCGAAGGCGGGUUCCUGGACAUUAACUGACGCUGAGGCACGAAGGCGAGGGGAGCGAAAGGGAUUAGAUACCCUAGUAGUC
RNAcentral lists this ribosomal RNA (446 nucleotides) under uncultured bacterium. RNAcentral describes it as "partial 16S ribosomal RNA". It matches the Rfam family "Bacterial small subunit ribosomal RNA", at positions 338 to 795 of the family's 1533-position model. The record is from RNAcentral.